Molecule: unclassified non-coding RNA, 633 nt
Filed under: Bombus terrestris (buff-tailed bumblebee)
Lineage: Eukaryota; Metazoa; Arthropoda; Insecta; Hymenoptera; Apidae
Description: misc RNA ENSBTSG00005032380.1
Source: RNAcentral
UAACAAGAUGUAGGUAAGAAGGUUGCUCAUUGUUGAAGCGUUGGAGACCUGGCUAAUCCUGUGUUCAAUGGUUUUGACCAUUUAAAGGGGGGGGGGGAGACAAACGAUUAUUCGUAUACGUCUUAGGGUUCGUUCGGCAGUUAUGUGUUGAUGAAUUGUCGGAACGAUCGAUACACGCCUUAGUGUGGUUUAUGGAUUCUCUAAGAAUUUUGUCUCGGAAGUUAAAUCGUGGCGCGUAACCCAGUUCUCGACAGAGAGCGACUACUCACCGAUCCGAUCUCCGUCGGACAACAGUUACCGGUCGCCUAUCGGAACUCUUGAUUUUCACUGGUUCGUUCAUUUUGCCGGUCUGUAUAGCUGUGCGUCCGUUUUGCCGGUCUGUAUACCUGCGCGUCCAUUUUCCAAGCGAGUAAACGGCUUUGUGAAAGUAUCGAACACAGAUGGAAAUAAGAAUGGACGUAAUAUCGUGUAAAAAGGUUCCUAGUAUCAACAGCUACGGUGGAUUGGAAAAAUGUUUGCUGCUCAUACCCAAAUGGUAAAGUGGACUUUCCCUGCUUUUGCCCUUAUAAUUGGUCUAUUGUGGUACAAACGGCGUCAAGCAGACAGAGCUGAUCCAGGUGGAAUAAAUAAAAA